GUGCGGCAGUCGAAGGCGAGGAGGCGAGGAACCGCCGCGGCUUCUGGCGUUCUCCGCUCUGGUUCGUAGGUGAAGAGAUGGCGUUUGUGAAGAGUGGCUGGUUGCUGCGACAGAGUACUAUUUUGAAGCGCUGGAAGAAGAACUGGUUUGAUCUGUGGUCGGAUGGUCACCUGAUCUAUUAUGAUGACCAGACUCGGCAGAAUAUCGAGGAUAAGGUCCACAUGCCAGUGGACUGCAUCAACAUCCGCACGGGGCAGGAAUGUCGGGAUAUUCAGCCCCCGGAUGGAAAGUCAAAAGACUGCAUGCUCCAGAUUGUUUGUCGAGAUGGGAAAACAAUUAGUCUUUGUGCAGAAAGCACAGAUGAUUGCUUGUAAGUUUUGCUUUCUUAUGUGUUUAAUUUAAAAAGUAUUUUCUAUUUUAACUUCUGAUUACCAAAAAAUGAAAAGAAUGGGAGUGGAGUUUUCUUUCAGGCGUCAGAAUAAGGGACUCAGUGGAUGUGUGAGAGAAAUGCAAGAGUCGCUUUUCCAAUUCUAGUUUCUGCCUCUCUGAGACUGCCUGGGCCGAUCCCAUUGUGGUGAAAAUGGCAGAAAGGAAUAGCAGUCUCAUCAUGCUCUCUUUCAUUAUUAGAUUCACAGUGGGUAAC
This 643-nucleotide small RNA is filed under the name Pongo abelii (Sumatran orangutan). RNAcentral describes it as "retained intron". Lineage: Eukaryota; Metazoa; Chordata; Mammalia; Primates; Hominidae. The record is from RNAcentral.